This 484-nucleotide ribosomal RNA is filed under the name uncultured bacterium. RNAcentral describes it as "partial 16S ribosomal RNA". It matches the Rfam family "Bacterial small subunit ribosomal RNA", at positions 30 to 507 of the family's 1533-position model. The record is from RNAcentral.
AUUGAACGCUGGCGGCAGGCCUAACACAUGCAAGUCGAGCGGAUGAAGGGAGCUUGCUCCUGGAUUCAGCGGCGGACGGGUGAGUAAUGCCUAGGAAUCUGCCUGGUAGUGGGGGAUAACGUCCGGAAACGGGCGCUAAUACCGCAUACGUCCUGAGGGAGAAAGUGGGGGAUCUUCGGACCUCACGCUAUCAGAUGAGCCUAGGUCGGAUUAGCUAGUUGGUGGGGUAAAGGCCUACCAAGGCGACGAUCCGUAACUGGUCUGAGAGGAUGAUCAGUCACACUGGAACUGAGACACGGUCCCGGCUCCUACGGGAGGCAGCAGUGGGGAAUAUUGGACAAUGGGCGAAAGCCUGAUCCAGCCAUGCCGCGUGUGUGAAGAAGGUCUUCGGAUUGUAAAGCACUUUAAGUUGGGAGGAAGGGCAGUAAGUUAAUACCUUGCUGUUUUGACGUUACCAACAGAGUAAGCACCGGCUAACUUCGUG